Long non-coding RNA from Macaca fascicularis (crab-eating macaque), 1949 nucleotides. The record is from Ensembl. Lineage: Eukaryota; Metazoa; Chordata; Mammalia; Primates; Cercopithecidae.
UUUUUUUUUUUUUUUUUGAGAUGGAGUUUCAAAAAAAAAGCUUUUAGCCACCGCGCCAAUCAUGUUUAUGUCAUGCGCAUCUGUGUGAAGAAACUACCAACAGGCUUUGUGUGAGCAACAAGGCUGUUUAUUUCACUUGGGUGCAGGCGGGCUGAGUCCAAAUAGAGAGUCAGCAAAGGGAGAUAAGGGUGGGGCCGUUUUAUAGGAUUUGGGUAGGUAACGGAAAAUUACAGUGAAAGGGGGGUUGUUCUCUGGCGGGCAGGAGUGGAGGUCACAAGGUGCUUAGUGGGGGAGCUUUCUGAGCCAGGAUGAGCCAGGAAAGGGAAUUUCACAAGGUAAUGUCAUCACUUAAGGCAAGGACCGGCCAUUUUCACUUCUUUUGUGGUGGAAUGUCAUCAGUUAAGGCAGGGCAGGCCAUUUGCACUUCUUUUGUGAUUCUUCAGUUACUUCAGGCCAUCUGGGCGUAUACGUGCAAGUCACAGGGGAUGCGAUGGCUUGGCUUGGCCUCAGAGGCCUGACAGUUUACAUUUUAUUUUAUGUAUUUAUUUUUUUGAGAUGGAGUCUCACUCUGUCGCCAGGCUGGAGUACAGUGGUGCGAUCUCGGCUCACUGCAACCUCCGCCUCCCGGGUUCAAGCAAUUCUCCUGCCUCAGCCUCCUGAGUAGCUGGGACUACAGGCGCGUGCCACCACGCCUGGCUAAUUUUUGUAUUUUUAGUAGAGACAUGGUUUCACCAUGUUGGCCAGGAUGGUCUUGUACUCGACCUCGUGAUCCACCCGCCUCAGCCUCCCAAAGUGUUGGGAUUACAGGCAUGAGCCACUGCGCCCGGCCAUGUUUACCUUUCAAAAGGAUCAUUCUGGCUGCUGGUUAGAAUAAAGACUGGAGCAGGGAUGUGUUAGGGUUGAGGUAUAGCAGAAGCAACGGCAGGACUAGUUAGGAGACUACUGCCAUAUAUAUAGCUGAAACCGCCUUUGCAAAAUUAUGACUGAGACAGUGAAAAAGAUCUAACUCCAUCUUCAUUCUAACCUUUAAGCUGUCCUUGUUCCUUCCUGGGUGUAAGCUGAACUAACUUUGGGAGGAACUUAGUUUACAGUUUAAAACAAAGAUGGUAACAGCCCCUUCCCAAAACAAACCUUCCUCUUGCCUGGGUACUAGACUGACUUUGUUGGACUAACAAAUUAGCCACAAGAUUAGAAAUUAUGGUUUAGCAGUCACGCAGCUGGAGGCUACAAGAUUCUGACCUUCCCUAAACGUUUCCUAAAAUCAGCACUUGAGAUAUUUUGCAGACCUGAACUUGAUGAAUCAGCUGGCACCACACAGACUGAUAAACCGGCUCAUCUGAUCUUGUGGCCCGCACCCAGGAACUGACUCAAUGCAAGAGGACAGCUUCAGCUUCCCAUGAUUUCAUCUCCUACCUGACCAAUCAGCACUCCUUGCUCACUGGCUUCCCCCUACCCACCAAAUUAUCCUUAAAAACUCUGAUUCCACAGCCUGGAGCAGUGGCUCAUGCCUGUAAUCCUAGCACUUUGGGAGGCUGAGGCAGGUGGAUCAUUGAGGUCAGGAAUUUGAGUCCAGCCUGGCCAACAUGGUGAAACCCCCGUCCCUACUAAAAAAAUACAAAAAUUAACCGGGUGUGGUGAUGCAUGUCUGUGGUCCCAGCUACUCCAGAGCGGAGACUGAGGCAGGAGAAUCACCUGAACUAGGGAGGCACAGGCUGCAGGGAGUGGAGAUUGUGCCAUUGCACUCCAGCCUGGGCGACACCGUCUCAAAACAAACAAACAAACAAAAUCUCUGAUCCCCGAAUGCUCAGGGAGACUGAUUUGAGUAAUAAUAAAACUCCGGUUUCCUGCACAGCUGGCUCUGUGUGAGUUACUCUUUAUUGCAACUCCUGUCUUGAUAAGUCCCCUCUGUCUAGGUAGCAGGCAAGGUAAACCCGCUGGCUGGUUACAUA